This 299-nucleotide signal recognition particle RNA is filed under the name Aotus nancymaae (Ma's night monkey). Its description in RNAcentral is "Metazoan signal recognition particle RNA (ENSANAG00000010891.1)". It matches the Rfam family "Metazoan signal recognition particle RNA". From Rfam's summary of the family: The signal recognition particle (SRP) is a universally conserved ribonucleoprotein. It is involved in the co-translational targeting of proteins to membranes. The eukaryotic SRP consists of a 300-nucleotide 7S RNA and six proteins: SRPs 72, 68, 54, 19, 14, and 9. The record is from RNAcentral. Lineage: Eukaryota; Metazoa; Chordata; Mammalia; Primates; Aotidae.
GCCAGGUGUGGUGGCACUUGCCGGAAGUCCUAGCUACUCGGGAAGCUGAGGCAAGAGGAUCUGUUGAGCCCAGGAGUUCUGGGCUGUAGUGCGCUAUGCCAAUCGGGUGUCCGCACUAAGUUCAGCAUCAAUAUGGUGACCUCCCGGGAGCGGGGGACCACCAGGUUGCCUAAGGAGGGGUGAACCGGCCCAGGUUGGAAACGGAGCAGGUCAAAACUCCCGUGCUGAUCAGUAGUAGGAUCGCGUCUGUGAAUAGCCACUGCACUCCAGCCUGGGCAACAUAGCGAGACCCCGUCUCU